Molecule: ribosomal RNA, 256 nt
Filed under: uncultured archaeon
Lineage: Archaea
Description: partial 16S ribosomal RNA
Rfam family: Archaeal small subunit ribosomal RNA
Source: RNAcentral
GUAAAAUCCUUUGAUCUAUUGAUGACCACCUGUGGCGAAGGCGGUCUACCAGAACAUGUCCGACGGUGAGGGAUGAAAGCUGGGGGAGCAAACCGGAUUAGAUACCCGGGUAGUCCCANGCUGUAAACUAUGCAAACUCGGUGAUGCAUUGGCUUGAUGCCAAUGCAGCGCCGCAGGGAAGCCGUUAAGUUUGCCGCCUGGGAAGUACGUACGCAAGUAUGAAACUUAAAGGAAUUGGCGGGAAGGGCGAAUUCGU